Molecule: ribosomal RNA, 273 nt
Filed under: uncultured bacterium
Lineage: Bacteria
Description: partial 16S ribosomal RNA
Rfam family: Bacterial small subunit ribosomal RNA
Source: RNAcentral
UACGGAGGAUCCAAGCGUUAUCCGGAUUUAUUGGGUUUAAAGGGUGCGUAGGCGGCUUAUUAAGUCAGGGGUGAAAGACGGUGGCUCAACCAUCGCAGUGCCUUUGAUACUGAUGAGCUUGAAUACACUAGAGGUAGGCGGAAUGUGACAAGUAGCGGUGAAAUGCAUAGAUAUGUCACAGAACACCAAUUGCGAAGGCAGCUUACUAUGGUGUCAUUGACGCUGAGGCACGAAAGCGUGGGGAUCAAACAGGAUUAGAAACCCCAGUAGUCC